Molecule: long non-coding RNA, 1471 nt
Organism: Xenopus tropicalis (tropical clawed frog)
Lineage: Eukaryota; Metazoa; Chordata; Amphibia; Anura; Pipidae
Exons: 2
Source: RefSeq, a predicted model, not a curated record
ACAAUAAACAGGCUGAAUCAGAGUAUGUGCUCUCUGCAGAGGCUUGCUAGGAAACACUAUAGCAUUUUUGAUUUGAUUAUGUUAGCGUGAUCCUUUCUACAGCAUGCUUAACAUAAAGGAGAGAAAUCAGAUGUCUGCUGAGGACAAUAGCAGAGUUCCACAUGGGACCUAUGGCCAUAUAACUGAAAAAUUGAAUUUACAUUUUGUCAUGCUGCAAUAGAAACUAUAGAAUACAAAUCUGGAAAAUAUACUCAAGAUUCCGACUGCAUGCUUGAAGUGGUUUUGCAAUAAUAGGAAAAUCCAACACAUAUAUAUUUCAUUGCCAGACUUUAUUUAUUGUUUAUGUUUAACAAUGAUUGGCUUACAGAGAAUGUGAACCCUCUUGUUAGCAUUAUUGCAAAUAAUAAUAAUAAUAAUAUAUAUGUAUAGAAUAGUACAUGUUGUACUAGAUAAGCAAUUCUUCUAAAGAGGAAAUAUCUUAUAUCAUGAAUCUCCAACAGGUGGCCCUCAAGCCAUUAAACUAGAAUCCUCAUCAUCACCUGAUGGCACCAGGCUGCCAGAGGAAGGUGGGAGUUACAGAUUAGCAACACCUGUAGAGCCUCUAAAAGGUAUUAAUUCAUUUUUCAUUUAAACUGUAUGUUUAAUAUUUAAACAACUCUGGCCUUUACCUGCAACUCUACUAAAAUUUCAUCUGUGCAAGCUAGGACAUUUCUAAACAUGUAAUGCUUAAUUCCAUACCACAAUACUAUGUAAUGGGUUUCCAUACAUUACUGUGAUCACCAGCAAAAAUAAAAAUAGACACAGAUGUGCUCGUUUUUAUCAUGCAAUUAAAGUUUCAUUGCUCUAAUCACCUCUUACUCCUACUGGCCAUAGCAGAUUACAGACCUGUGAGUAGGAAGUGAAGGUUACUGAUUAUGAUACUGAUUAAGUGAGGAUUACUGGCUAUGCACUGAGGCUAAGAUGAGAAACCAUUGCACAAUGGACUUAUUCCUUGCGGACCUUGAUGCCAAAAGAACUAAAUCCACAUACAGUAUUUAAGAAACACAUUUUAUAAUUUCUUAUUAGUUUUUGGAAUGUAGAAAUGUACACAAUUUUCACUUAUGUUCAUAGCGAUGAAUAAGUUUGUCCCACUGGUCAGAUGAUUUGAAGCCUCGGGAAAAGAAACAGCGGAGAACAAAGUCACCUUUCACUGGAUAAUUAUGUAGUUUGAAUAGGGCCUUGUAUCCUGUUAAUCUUGUGUUAACCCUUUAGUGAUAUAUAACCAGGCAAAUUGUGAUGUUUAUAUUAUAUAUAGACAGUAGCUCAACAAUUUGCUCUGUGUGAAUGAUCAGUUUUGCUCAGUUAAGGUGUUAACAGCAACAUCAUUAUGUGUCCCUCAUUAAUUAUAAUGUUUAAUUGGUAUUGGGACAGAAUGGUUCAAAACUGCACACGUAGUCUCAAAAAACAAUUAAAUAAAUAAAUAAACAACCAA